CCGCCCACCUGCGGCCUUUUACGCUUGGUCUCCGAGGGGCUUUGGCGCUGGCGGCGGGUCCUCCAGCGCAUGCUAGUGUAUUACCACGUGCGCAUAAUAAGGGGCAGGCUCCUGGAAGCCGGAUCCUCCGCCAUCUCGGGCCAAGCCUGGGUUCAAGCCGGUGUUUGAGGUCUCCCGGGUCUGUCGUUCCUCUCGCUGAACAAAGGGUUUCUGGUGACCAGAAUGGAACCCUCUGGGACACCCAACUCACUCCAGAGCCCACAGACAGCAUCCUGGGAAAGCUGGCGGAAGCUGACAAAGGAUUUGAAAACCGAGUCAGCUUGUGGGUUGCUUCCUCCCUGUCAAAAAGGUGGCUUGAUAAUUAGCUUUGCCAUUACAAGGCAAGGAGAGAAGACAGUCAUGUCCAUCCCUGUCACUGGACCCCUGUGGUCAGCUGGUGUUGGCAGUUGAAAGGGUGCUCCUGGAAGACUCCGACCUAGAUGAAAAAGUGGCCUGGCUGUUGGGCCAGAAGCCCUCUCUGUCGUUGAGGUUCACUCCCAGUGGCCGGAAAUGCCACCGAGAGAUGCGCGCUGCGUGGGGGUUCUGAACGAUCGGCUUCAGCACCCGGCCCAGGUGGACAGCGACGAGCGCAGCAGCCCGCCUCACCCUCCCUGCGCGGCCACUGCGCGCGCCUCGCCUCUGACCCCUGCCAGCAGCGUGCCCAGCGCCACGUCCAGCGCCAGCACCUCGGCGCUGUCUGGCCACGCGAUCGCCUUGUACAUCUCCCUGUGCCUCCUUGCCCAGGCCUGCCAGGAGCUGUGUGCGCGUGUCCAGAGCUGCAGCUGCUCCCCAAGGCAGGGCUCCCUAUGUGGCCCCCUCUGUUGCCUCUCUCAGGGCUUCUAGGCACGUCCGUGGGGAGGCAGCAAGAACAUGUAAAAACUUCCCCAAGCUGGUGCUGAUAAGUAUACCCCUUCACGUCAUAAAGGGCUCUAGUCCCCGUUGAAGUCUGUCUUGCUUCUGGAGAUUUUCUAAAACCCUGUUUUGUUUUAAAAUGCAUUCAUCCUGUUUUGUAAUUAUAUGUAUUUCUGGUAACUUUUUAUUUCAUGCUGGUCUUCACUCCAAGUUUUUAGCACAGCUUGAAUUUGUGUAACUCAAAUGAAUAUAAAAUGAAAGUGAAAGUUACUCAGUCGCGUCCAAGUCUUUGCUACCCCAUGGACUGUAUAGUCCAUGGAAUUCUCCAGGCCAGAAAACUGGAGUGGCUAGGCUUUCCCUUCUCCAGGGGAUCUUCCCAACCCAGGGAUUGAACCCAGGUCUUCCACACUGCAGGUGGAUUCUUUACCAGCUAAGCCGCAAGGGAAGCC
This is a long non-coding RNA of Bos taurus (domestic cattle), 1340 nucleotides long. Lineage: Eukaryota; Metazoa; Chordata; Mammalia; Artiodactyla; Bovidae. The record is from Ensembl.